This 422-nucleotide ribosomal RNA is filed under the name uncultured bacterium. RNAcentral's name for it is "partial 16S ribosomal RNA". It matches the Rfam family "Bacterial small subunit ribosomal RNA", at positions 360 to 774 of the family's 1533-position model. The record is from RNAcentral.
AAUAUUGGACAAUGGGGGCAACCCUGAUCCAGCCAUGCCGCGUGUGUGAAGAAGGUCUUCGGAUUGUAAAGCACGUUAAGUUGGGAGGAAGGGCUUUAGGCUCAUAGCCUGAUGUUUUGACGUUACCAACAGAAUUAGCACCGGCUAACUCUUGGACACCAGCCGCGAUAAUACAGAGGGUGCAAGCGUUAAUCGGAAUUACUGGGCGUAAAGCGCGCGUAGGUGGUUCAGUAAGAUGGGUGUGAAAUCCCCGGGCUUAACCUGGGAACUGCUUUCAUAACUGCUGAGCUAGAGUACGGUAGAGGGUAGUGGAAUUUCCUGUGUAGCGGUGAAAUGCGUAGAUAUAGGAAGGAACACCAGUGGCGAAGGCGACUACCUGGACUGAUACUGACACUGAGGUGCGAAAGCGUGGGGAGCAAACA